RNAcentral lists this ribosomal RNA (460 nucleotides) under uncultured bacterium. Its description in RNAcentral is "partial 16S ribosomal RNA". It matches the Rfam family "Bacterial small subunit ribosomal RNA", at positions 338 to 795 of the family's 1533-position model. The record is from RNAcentral.
CCUACGGGAGGCAGCAGUGAGGAAUAUUGGUCAAUGGACGAGAGUCUGAACCAGCCAAGUAGCGUGAAGGAUGACUGCCCUAUGGGUUGUAAACUUCUUUUAUAAAGGAAUAAAACGAGGCACGUGUGCCUUUUUGCAUGUACUUUAUGAAUAAGGAUCGGCUAACUCCGUGCCAGCAGCCGCGGUAAUACGGAGGAUCCGAGCGUUAUCCGGAUUUCUUGGGUUUAAAGGGAGCGUAGAUGGGUUGUUAAGUCAGUUGUGAAAGUUUGCGGCUCAACCGUAAAAUUGCAAUUGAUACUGGCAGUCUUGAGUACAGUUGAGGUAGGCGGAAUUCGUGGUGUAGCGGUGAAAUGCUUAGAUAUCACGAAGAACUCCGAUUGCGAAGGCAGCUUACUAAACUGCCACUGACAUUGAUGCUCGAAAGUGUGGGUAUCAAACAGGAUUAGAUACCCCUGUAGUC